CACCAGGGGCAGCCCGCAUCCCGCGGGUGUCGCUCCUAGGUUCUGAACAGGCGAAGAAUGGGCUGCCACUGCAGCCCGUCGAGACCUUGGUUCCACCUGACACACCGCUGGCUGAUUCUUUUUAAUCUAUGCCUAUGAGGUGUUUGAUGGAACUACAAGCAGGAUAGUGAAGAUGGUGUUGUGAUGCUUUGUACAUGUGAGCCAGAUAUUGCAGAAAUAUUUUUCUGAACGUGAGGACAUGAUCCAUUGAUACAAUCCAACAUCGGUGAUUUACAAGAUAAUUGUAAGGUUGUUGUCGUGUUCCACUCUUGGUUUUGUUCCUUUUAUCCAAGGCUUCAUCCUUAUGGUGAAAUCUGACACGGGACUAUUAUUCUUGGUUGAUAUAGGCAUGUCAAGUGCUUCAGGUUUUACACAGUGAUCAGUUGGACUCUGCAAUUGGAGUUUUGGGUGGCGCAAGACAAGAUGUCUUCAAGUUGCAGCAUGCCACCUGCUACAUCCAUCUAUCUUCAGUUACGCAGAUGACCAGCAAUUCUUGUGACACUACCCUUCGAGUAUGAAGGAAAUUAAAGAAGGAAAGAAUUUCAGACCAAUAGAGAAAUGACUAAUGAUGGCAACGAGCAUGAAGGUAGCAAAUUGAUUCUUACAUUCAAAUGGAGGGGGUUUUACUAGCUUCAUUGCAAAAACUUAGUUAAAUAGAAUAUGUCAGUAAGCCUUCAUACGUCCUCAGUGUGUAUCCAUUACUUAGUCAUGCACAAUGCCUAUAUUUCAGCUAUAAAUGAUGUGUGCUGUCAUGCAUUCAUUG
This is a long non-coding RNA of Lolium rigidum, 802 nucleotides long. RefSeq lists it as uncharacterized. The record is from RefSeq and is a predicted model, not a curated record. Lineage: Eukaryota; Viridiplantae; Streptophyta; Magnoliopsida; Poales; Poaceae. The transcript is spliced from 6 exons.